GGGUCUGUAGCGCAGUUGGUAGCGCGCCUCGUUCGCAUCGAGGAGGUCAGGGGUUCGAUUCCCCUCAGAUCCA
RNAcentral lists this transfer RNA (73 nucleotides) under Leucobacter luti. It matches the Rfam family "tRNA". From Rfam's summary of the family: Transfer RNA (tRNA) molecules are approximately 80 nucleotides in length. The record is from Rfam by way of RNAcentral. Lineage: Bacteria; Bacillati; Actinomycetota; Actinomycetes; Micrococcales; Microbacteriaceae. RNAcentral also lists the same sequence under 1 other name.